UCAAACCGGGAGAUAGCUGGUUCUCCCCGAAAGCUAUUUAGGUAGCGCCUCGUGAAUUCAUCUCCGGGGGUAGAGCACUGUUUCGGCAAGGGGGUCAUCCCGACUUACCAACCCGAUGCAAACUGCGAAUACCGGAGAAUGUUAUCACGGGAGACACACGGCGGGUGCUAACGUCCGUCGUGAAGAGGGAAACAACCCAGACCGCCAGCUAAGGUCCCAAAGUCAUGGUUAAGUGGGAAACGAUGUGGGAAGGCCCAGACAGCCAGGAUGUUGGCUUAGAAGCAGCCAUCAUUUAAAGAAAGCGUAAUAGCUCACUGGUCGAGUCGGCCUGCGCGGAAGAUGUAACGGGGCUAAACCAUGCACCGAAGCUGCGGCAGCGACGCUGAUGCGUUGUUGGGUAGGGGAGCGUUCUGUAAGCCUGCGAAGGUGUGCUGUGAGGCAUGCUGGAGGU
RNAcentral lists this ribosomal RNA (451 nucleotides) under Escherichia coli. RNAcentral describes it as "partial 23S ribosomal RNA". It matches the Rfam family "Bacterial large subunit ribosomal RNA", at positions 833 to 1280 of the family's 2925-position model. Lineage: Bacteria; Pseudomonadati; Pseudomonadota; Gammaproteobacteria; Enterobacterales; Enterobacteriaceae. The record is from RNAcentral.